GCUGGCUUGCUCCAUGUAAACAACCCCUAAAACUGAACAGACAAUGACAAAAUGUUAUCUCGAUCUUUUGUUAAAAAUAAUAAACAGCAAACAUUAAGAAUAUAUUGAAUACAAAAUAAAUGCACUAAUAUAUAGUACACUUACGUUCCCACUCUUCUUUCGGUAGCUAUAUCUUUUAAACUGAAAUAAACCACAGCUAGAGAAAACUAUCACAUUCAAAAAGAUAAAAAUAACAGUGUAAAUUCUUGAUAUUUUUCCCAUCCACAUUAAAAUUUUUCUAUUUCUAAUUUUCU
Paramuricea clavata is the source of this 293-nucleotide non-coding RNA. NCBI's taxonomy places the organism in Eukaryota, Metazoa, Cnidaria, Anthozoa, Malacalcyonacea, Plexauridae. The record is from the annotation of a GenBank genome assembly.